Molecule: microRNA, 19 nt
Filed under: Callorhinchus milii (elephant shark)
Lineage: Eukaryota; Metazoa; Chordata; Chondrichthyes; Chimaeriformes; Callorhinchidae
Description: eshark_NOVEL_219
Source: RNAcentral
CCCCCAAAUAAAUCGGCCG